GUCACUGCUUCCACAGAACAGAAAAUAGAGAAAGAUAAAGAAGAGAAGGAUAUGAGAAUAGAAAAAAGAGAAAAGAGAAAGAGAAAGAAUCAGAGAAUAAGAUGAGAAGAACGAUAUUUCUUAUUACUGAUCAAGAAUGAAUCUUAGACAGGUGAUACCACUGUCUUUUAUAUAUUCUAAUAACUGCCUUUUACAGUUUGUCACUACUUGAGCUGACUUCUAGAAAGUCUCUAACUGAGUAACUACCUCCUAAAAAUAUCUGCUAGUUUCCCUUUAAAACAUCUAACAAACUUCUCCCAUCCCGGAUUACUAAGCUGAAACAAUUUCUACUCUACAUUUCUUCUCCCUUUCCUAUAAAAUGUGACAUUUUACUAUGAUAAUAGCCUCCACUCUGUCAAAUGGGAUUUAAAAAGUAUGUUAUUUAAGAAGGCAUGAACCACAGAAAAAUUUGGCAGUGUGAAACCAGAAAAAUAUAUGAAGACAAUAGUUCCAAUAAGUAAGAUUAGGAUGUCAAGAAUUGGCCUGUAUCCUGUCCUUCAAGGAAGAUUUGGUUGGUGACAAACUUUAGCAGUAUCCAAGCAUCCUCAUUUCGAGGAUGGCUAAAUACUCAUUCCAGCGACCUUUUUAAUUCCUUUAUAAUUCAUCAACCUCCUUACUCUGGUCACAUCAGUCCACCUUUGUUUAGUAGCAUAGAUAUUGGAGAGGAGAACGUAAACCCUACUGUCUCGAGACUCAAGUUCUAUGAUGUGAUCUAGUAUACUUUGAGAGAUUUGCAAAAUUCGUAUAGCCUUGGAAGCACUAAGAAGAACUCCCACUAUAAGCACAUCAGGUGACAUAGGCAUAGUU
Molecule: unclassified non-coding RNA, 846 nt
Filed under: Hevea brasiliensis (rubber tree)
Lineage: Eukaryota; Viridiplantae; Streptophyta; Magnoliopsida; Malpighiales; Euphorbiaceae
Source: RNAcentral